Long non-coding RNA from Jaculus jaculus (lesser Egyptian jerboa), 930 nucleotides. RefSeq lists it as uncharacterized. The record is from RefSeq and is a predicted model, not a curated record. The transcript is spliced from 3 exons. Lineage: Eukaryota; Metazoa; Chordata; Mammalia; Rodentia; Dipodidae.
AGCACCGCACCCCGCGGGUUCCGGAUCAGCCCAGGGUGCUCUGCGGGGGGGGGCUCCCCCCCAAGGCCCAGGGACUCCCCGGGACCGGGAGGAGUGCGACCCCAGAAGUCAGGCCCGGGGAGCUGUGUAGACUGAAGCGGGACCCCCUCCCCAGCUCCCAUCGAUCGGGUGGUCUCCGGGGGAAGAGCAACCCUGGCAGGUCCAGCACGGCGAGCUUCCCCGCUUGCUGAUUUCCCUUGGAAAAGCCUGCUCUCUGGAAAUCCUCGACGCGGAGGCUUCCAGCAGGUCGUGGGGCUGGCCGCGGCCUUGGGGUCCAUGGAAACACAGUAUUUCCUGGGGUUGCAAGCAGGAAAAUGACUCAUAAAACUUAGCCUCUGUCCUCAAGAACUGGAACCCAGCAGGAGAGAGAAGACGUUUGACCAGGUUUGGAAGUGACUUCAGAGAGUUUCAGCAGCCAGUGAUAUCUGACAGUUUGUGGUGCAGCAGCAGCUGGCCACAGAGACUUCCCCCACCGGCUCCUUCUCUGCUCUGAGAGAAUGGAAACAUUGGAUCUCUGGCGCCCGUGGAGAACUCAGGGCCUAUUCACUAGGAUGCACACAGGCCCACGGGGAGAACAGCUUCCUGCCAUAGCACUCUUGACCAUACUAGUGGCUGGGGGAGGCUUGAGUCCUGGGUGUAAAUCCCAGAUUAUCUGCACUUGAAGGGGCAAUGUCUGGCUCUAGAAAUUGUGAGGUCCAGAGAGAUAACCCCAGCACUCGGGAGGCAGGGAGGCAGAGGUGGGAGGAUCAACUGACUAACAACAGAAAGAUUUACCCCAGGAUUCAGGAACUGCUUGAAUUUUUUUAAAAAAUUAAUUUAUUUGCACUCUGAGAGAGACAGAGAGAAGAGACACACACACAGAGAGAGAUAGGGAGCACACCAGGGUCUCUA